CAUGCAAGUCGAACGAACCUUCGGGUUAGUGGCGGACGGGUGAGUAACGCGUGAGAAUCUGCCCUCAGGAGGGGGAUAACAGUUGGAAACGACUGCUAAUACCCCAUAUGCCGAGAGGUGAAAUAAAUUUCGCCUGGGGAUGAGCUCGCGUCUGAUUAGCUUGUUGGUGGGGUAAUAGCCUACCAAGGCUUCGAUCAGUAGCUGGUCUGAGAGGACGAUCAGCCACACUGGGACUGAGACACGGCCCAGACUCCUACGGGAGGCAGCAGUGGGGAAUUUUCCGCAAUGGGCGAAAGCCUGACGGAGCAACGCCGCGUGAGGGAUGGAGGCCUUUGGGCUGUAAACCUCUUUUCUCAAGGAAGAAGAUCUGACGGUACUUGAGGAAUAAGCCACGGCUAAUUCCGUGCCAGCAGCCGCGGUAAUACGGGAGUGGCAAGCGUUAUCCGGAAUUAUUGGGCGUAAAGCGUCCGCAGGCGGCCGUUUAAGUCUGUUGUUAAAUCGUGGAGCUCAACUCCAUCACGGCAAUGGAAACUGUUCGGCUUGAGUAUGGUAGGGGCAGAGGGAAUUUCCGGUGUAGCGGUGAAAUGCGUAGAUAUCGGGAAGAACACCAGUGGCGAAAGCGCUCUGCUGGGCCAUUACUGACG
This 644-nucleotide ribosomal RNA is filed under the name uncultured bacterium. Its description in RNAcentral is "bacterial SSU rRNA". It matches the Rfam family "Bacterial small subunit ribosomal RNA", at positions 54 to 745 of the family's 1533-position model. The record is from RNAcentral.